This 72-nucleotide transfer RNA is filed under the name Marmota marmota marmota (Alpine marmot). It matches the Rfam family "tRNA". Rfam says of the family: Transfer RNA (tRNA) molecules are approximately 80 nucleotides in length. The record is from Rfam by way of RNAcentral. Lineage: Eukaryota; Metazoa; Chordata; Mammalia; Rodentia; Sciuridae. RNAcentral also lists the same sequence under 3 other names.
UGGGGUGUAGCUCAAUGUUAGAGCAUUUGUCUAGCACAUGGGAGGCUCUGGAUUGUAUCCCCAGCACCACAA